GAUAUGGCUCAGGAUGAACGCUAGCUACAGGCUUAACACAUGCAAGUCGAGGGGCAGCAUGUUGGUUGCUUGCAACCGAUGAUGGCGACCGGCGCACGGGUGAGUAACGCGUAUCCAACCUACCCUUGUCCAUCGGAUAACCCGUCGAAAGGCGGCCUAACACGAUAUGCGGUUCACAGCAGGCAUCUAACGUGAACGAAAUGUGAAGGAGAAGGAUGGGGAUGCGU
Molecule: ribosomal RNA, 227 nt
Filed under: uncultured bacterium
Lineage: Bacteria
Description: partial 16S ribosomal RNA
Rfam family: Bacterial small subunit ribosomal RNA
Source: RNAcentral